Molecule: ribosomal RNA, 253 nt
Filed under: uncultured bacterium
Lineage: Bacteria
Description: partial 16S ribosomal RNA
Rfam family: Bacterial small subunit ribosomal RNA
Source: RNAcentral
UACGUAGGGUGCAAGCGUUGUCCGGAAUUAUUGGGCGUAAAGAGCUCGUAGGCGGUCAGUCGCGUCUGCUGUGAAAACUCGGGGCUUAACUCCGGGCCUGCAGUGGGUACGGGCUGACUAGAGUGCGGUAGGGGAGACUGGAAUUCCUGGUGUAGCGGUGAAAUGCGCAGAUAUCAGGAGGAACACCGGUGGCGAAGGCGGGUCUCUGGGCCGAUACUGACGCUGAGGAGCGAAAGCGUGGGGAGCAAACAGG